AUGGCUGUCUCCCCUGUCUUGGGUACAGGCUUCCUUAUGAUGGAAACCUGGUCUGGGUUGCUCAUUACUGAACCUCCUCACACCUGGAGCAGUGCCUGGCACAAGGAGCUUACGAAUCCUCAGAACAGAAGAAACAGAGACGAUUGCUGUCUUCAUUUUAGAGACAAAGAGGUGAGGAGAGCCAGAUAUACUCAUGAACGCCUUAGGUACCUUUUACUAGAAGAGCCACAGCUGAUGCUCAGAACAGAAGGAAGAGAACAGAGGGAAGCGUGGAGUCAGGAACUCAGUGUUCCUGUUGGAGAAACCUCAGGGAGGGAGGCAGCCGCAUUAUACGUCAGCAUCAACUGCCAAAUUGUGGAACAGAACAUUGAAGGAAACUUCAGAGCAUCUUGCCAGCUCAUGCUCCGGCCUGGGCUGGUGGAGGAGGCUGAAACCAUAGCUGCCUGUCUGUCUUUGUCCCUGCUCUGGUGCUGGCAGGGUGGGAGAGCCUCCACACUCUUCCCCAAAUGGAAUGCAUGGGAGGCUGAGGCACGAAGGAUUACUCUUCACGACAAAGCAAGGCAGUGCUUCUGGAGAAAGCUUCUCUCUGCCAAGACAUCACAUUCUCUUUUCAAGCAGCUAAAAAUGAUAAACAUUACAACUGCUAAAAAAUACGUAGAACUUCGUACUUCUACUCAGUGUGCCUGGUUUUCUUUCUAGAGUAUUAAAGAAUAAGCUUGUUCCCUCUUUUACUAAUACUUUUGUUGAAAAUCUGUUGGGGCAGCUCAAACUCUCUGGCCAGCAGAGCAGAUUACUAUUAGAUUGUAAGAAUAAAUAAUAUAAAAUCUAUGGUGAGAACCGACGGCUCCCUGUGUGCCCAGACAAUACUCUGCUGUUUCCUCCUAGGCUGGUGGGUUUCUGAGGUUGGCUCCACUGCAGCUGGAGAGGUUCUGAGGUUAAAUCACUGUGGGUUGCCCAAUGUUAGAAAGGCACCAGUGUGGGAAGAAAGGGCUGAGGACCGUCCAAGUACUAGCAUAGCCCCAGACAUAGAAAUACUACUUACAUACUGAAGGAGGAAACCUUCCCAGCCACAGCAGCAUGUGGGGUGUGGGGACAGCAUGGCACCAGAAGUCUUGGAGGCUGGCACUCUUCUCUCUACUCUGUCUUGCCUGAAUGGUGAUGUGAAUCCAGAUGGUGAUGUGAAGCCAUCCAGCUUCUCUGUGAAUAACUUAAUGCUAAUGGUCCUGUCUUCCCCGACAGUGCUGGCCACUGUUGCACUCUGCAUUGCCCCAGGGUUGUGAGAGCACAAAAGACCUCAUACCCAGGUGGGACUCCCCCCUGCCUUCACCUCCCUUUAACUCCUGUGGUGUUCCUUGGGCCCCUCUGUCUAAGUAAGAUUGAUAAAUGUCAG
This 1390-nucleotide long non-coding RNA is filed under the name Macaca mulatta (Rhesus monkey). RNAcentral's name for it is "lncRNA (ENSMMUG00000056129.1)". The record is from RNAcentral. Lineage: Eukaryota; Metazoa; Chordata; Mammalia; Primates; Cercopithecidae.